AGAGUUUGAUCCUGGCUUAGGAUGAACGCUAGCGACAGGCUUAACACAUGCAAGUCGGAGGGGCAGCACGGGAGUAGCAAUACAACUGGUGGCGACCGGCGCACGGGUGAGUAACGCGUAUGCAACCUACCUAUCAGGAGGGGAAUAACCCGGCGAAAGUCGGACUAAUACCGCAUAAAACAGGGGCACCGCAUGGUGAUAUUUGUUAAAGAAAUUCGCUGAUAGAUGGGCAUGCGUUCCAUUAGGUAGUUGGUGAGGUAACGGCUCACCAAGCCGACGAUGGAUAGGGGAACUGAGAGGUUGGUCCCCCACACUGGUACUGAGACACGGACCAGACUCCUACGGGAGGCAGCAGUGAGGAAUAUUGGUCAAUGGGCGGGAGCCUGAACCAGCCAAGUCGCGUGAAAGGAAGAAGGAUCUAUGGUUCGUAAACUUCUUUUGCAGGGGAAUAAAGUGCAGGACGUGUCCUGUUUUGUAUGUACCCUGAGAAUAAGGAUCGGCUAACUCCGUGCCAGCCGCAGC
Molecule: ribosomal RNA, 522 nt
Filed under: uncultured bacterium
Lineage: Bacteria
Description: bacterial SSU rRNA
Rfam family: Bacterial small subunit ribosomal RNA
Source: RNAcentral